ACAAGUCAGUAAGAGGUUUGAAGAAGGAGAAAGGUUCCUGAAUGUUGGAGAUGGAAGACCAGUUCCAGUUCUAGCUUUAGGAAUUCUUAAACUUGAAUUCAGCUCUUAUGUAAAUGUCCUUAGUAAUUGUCACUAUUGUCCAAGUUUUCUAUUGAAUAUCAUUUCUGUAGGCCUUUUGGCCAAAAAUGGUUAUGAAAUAUCAAUAAAAAAGGAUUAUUGCAAUAUCAUUUGGAAUGGUGUUGUUGUAAUGAAUGGAAUU
This 259-nucleotide long non-coding RNA is filed under the name Phoenix dactylifera (date palm). RNAcentral describes it as "long non-coding RNA (PDAC_LNC002533)". The record is from RNAcentral. Lineage: Eukaryota; Viridiplantae; Streptophyta; Magnoliopsida; Arecales; Arecaceae.